This 349-nucleotide long non-coding RNA is filed under the name Hordeum vulgare. RNAcentral's name for it is "long non-coding RNA (HVUL_LNC018165)". The record is from RNAcentral. Lineage: Eukaryota; Viridiplantae; Streptophyta; Magnoliopsida; Poales; Poaceae.
UUGGAGUAGAACUAACAACCCUCACAUCGGUCGACCAUAUCUUUAGCCAUCUCGUUUGCCUGCAGCCAGAAGAAACCAGCCCUGAAUGCCUUGGCGACGAUUGCUCUCGAAGAGGCAUGAUGACCGCAGGUUCCUGAGUGAAUGUCUUCCAGGAUUAGUUGCCCCUCCUCUGGGGCGAUGCAUCGUUGAAGAACGCCUGGAACGCUUUCCUUGUACAAUUGGCCAUCAAUGACAGUGAAUGACUUCGACCUGCGGACUAUCUGCCUGGCCUAGACUUUGUCUUCUGGUAGUUCCUGCCUCAGGAUAUAGGCAAUGAUCGGCACAGUCCAAUCGGGGAUGACAGCAAGAA